This 441-nucleotide RNase P RNA is filed under the name Microcystis aeruginosa Ma_QC_Ch_20071001_M135. RNAcentral's name for it is "RNase P RNA component class A". It matches the Rfam family "Bacterial RNase P class A". From Rfam's summary of the family: Ribonuclease P (RNase P) is a ubiquitous endoribonuclease, found in archaea, bacteria and eukarya as well as chloroplasts and mitochondria. Lineage: Bacteria; Bacillati; Cyanobacteriota; Cyanophyceae; Chroococcales; Microcystaceae. The record is from RNAcentral. RNAcentral also lists the same sequence under 2 other names.
AGAGUUGGUCUAGAGGUUGCGGGAUCAUUUGAUCAAUGAUUCCGAGGAAAGUCCGAACUCCCGAAAGACCACACUUGCUGGAUAACGUCCAGUGCGCGCGAGCGUGAGGAUAGUGCCACAGAAAAAUACCGCCCCCUUUUUUCAGUAAUCAGUAAACAGUAACGAAAGUAAAUUCACUGAUAACUGAUCACUGAUUGGGGGUAAGGGUGCAAAGGUGCGGUAAGAGCGCACCAGCAGUAUCGAGAGGUACUGGCUCGGUAAACCCCGGUGGGGAGCAAGGUGGAGGGACAAAGGUUGGUCUUUUUCCUGUCCCGUUUUUAGGAACCGCUUGAGGUAAUUGGUAACAAUUAUCCCAGAUAGAUAACCUCUAUUCCAACAAAGGUAAAAGCGAUUUUACUGCUGUUGGGAAAUACAGAAUUCGGCUUAUGUCUGACUCUCUCC